CCUACGGGGUGCUGCAGUGAGGAAUAUUGGUCAAUGGGCUUACGCCUGAACCAGCCAAGUCGCGUGAGGGAAGACUGCCCUAUGGGUUGUAAACCUCUUUUGUCAGGGAGCAACGCCGGCUACGUGUAGCCGGACUGAGAGUACCUGAAGAAAAAGCAUCGGCUAACUCCGUGCCAGCAGCCGCGGUAAUACGGAGGAUGCGAGCGUUAUCCGGAUUUAUUGGGUUAAAAGGGUGCGUAGGCGGAAUGCCAAGUCAGCGGUAAAAUCGCGGGGCUCAACCUCGCUCCGCCGUUGAAACUGGCGUUCUUGAGUGGGCGAGAAGUAUGCGGAAUGCGUGGUGUAGCGGUGAAAUGCAUAGAGAUCACGCAGAACUCCGAUUGCGAAGGCAGCAGACCGGCGCCCAACUGACGCUGAAGUACGAAAGCGUGGGUAGCGAACAGGAUUAGAUACCCCAGUAGUC
Molecule: ribosomal RNA, 460 nt
Filed under: uncultured bacterium
Lineage: Bacteria
Description: partial 16S ribosomal RNA
Rfam family: Bacterial small subunit ribosomal RNA
Source: RNAcentral